Molecule: long non-coding RNA, 367 nt
Organism: Neogale vison (American mink)
Lineage: Eukaryota; Metazoa; Chordata; Mammalia; Carnivora; Mustelidae
Exons: 3
Source: RefSeq, a predicted model, not a curated record
CAGCCCACAAGAUUGGAAGCAGGUGAGGUGUACAGAGGAAAGGCCACUGCCCCGUGGGGGAGGGGUGGCCUGAAGGAAGAGGGACCCCCCUGGGAAGGGGCUGGUUUACAGAUCAGCCCAUGGACAUUUUCCAAGAAAGUGACAAAGACGGCAAAGUUGGAGGUCUGGAAAGCGGAGACUUCCGGGGUUGACUACCUGGGAGCACCGAGACCCCGGACAGCGCCUCUCGGGGUCCAGGAAAGGAACCGCGAUCUGCUUCAGCACCAGAGCUCCGGACAGCUUCCAGCGGGGUUCGCGGGCCCACUUCAUUUCAGCUCCGGGAAACCUGACAGCUUCCCCGGUGAGAUGGCCAGUCGGUCCGACUGUG